Molecule: long non-coding RNA, 934 nt
Organism: Capsella rubella
Lineage: Eukaryota; Viridiplantae; Streptophyta; Magnoliopsida; Brassicales; Brassicaceae
Exons: 3
Source: RefSeq, a predicted model, not a curated record
ACUUCUCCUCCUUUGUUCUUCUGACUUCUCCUCCUUCGUUCUUCUUCUCGUCGCAUACUCCAAUCUUCUCCGCCUCCUCCGACUUCCAACCUGCACAUGCCAGAAAGUUCACUGAUAUGCUAAGGAAGGAACCUCAUAGCCUACAAAGAAGAGAUGAAUCUGGUCGAUAAGCCAAGUUGCAGAGUAUGGCCCGAGAACACACAAUUACUAGCUCCCUCCGAUUCGUCUCUUGUUCCUUCUCUCUCGCCUCCAGAUGGGCGAUUCUGACCUUGAUUCAUAUAUCAAAGAGAGUGAAUAUCAGGAGAAGAACCCUCUUAUAAAAGUGUUAGAUAGACACAUGGUGGGCUAAAUAGGAGAGAAAGCUACCGCAAAAGUUAUGGGACAAAAAUUAUGUUCUAUUCAAAGCAUGAUAAAAAGAUUCAUGUGAAAGAAGAGGAAAUGACAACCAUACAAGCCAAGAAGCUGAGCUUAAGAUGUUAAGGAAGAGUUUGAACUUCAAGUCCACCCCGAUGUCUACCUUCUAUCAAGAAUAUCACCACCUAAAACUCAUUAGGUAAUGAUUAAAAACUAGGUUGACGUAUAUAUGUGGGUUGUAUUUUCCAUGGGAAGUUUUUGCUAAUUGUUUGUUUAAGUUUUUAGGUUUGUGGUGUAUUAUUCAAUUCUCUUGUAGGCAUAUGGCAAUAUUACAUGAGAAAGAGGAGGAUCUCUCGGCCAUGUAUAAAUCGCACUACCAGGAAAUGUCCUAGCCACCGCACCACUAGAAACCUUCCUAGCCUCCACACCACGAGGAACCAUAUCAGCUACUUCAGCACAUUGUCCAUCAUUUUAAGAACUUUUUACCUUCUCUUAUGAAUGUUUAAUAUUUUGUAAGGCUUUGAUUUGCAACAUUUUGGUUCAUCUAAUUUUUAUAUAAUUACAACAUUUUGUUUUAGCA